GGUUGUUAACUUAAUAGGUAAAGAUCUUUCUUGUCAAGAAAGAAGAUAUCGGAUCGUAGCCGAUACAACUCGC
This 73-nucleotide transfer RNA is filed under the name Opegrapha vulgata. RNAcentral describes it as "tRNA-Asp". Lineage: Eukaryota; Fungi; Ascomycota; Arthoniomycetes; Arthoniales; Opegraphaceae. The record is from RNAcentral.